This 3715-nucleotide long non-coding RNA is filed under the name Sus scrofa (pig). Its description in RNAcentral is "lncRNA (ENSSSCG00000052925.1)". Lineage: Eukaryota; Metazoa; Chordata; Mammalia; Artiodactyla; Suidae. The record is from RNAcentral.
CUGAUGCAAGGAUCACCCCUUCCCAGCCUCCUCCCCCACCUCUGCCUGUGCCUGGAGGUCCAGUUGGGUCCCCUCUCUUCCACACUCAGAGCCACACUUACUGCCGUCUCUUCAUCUCCUGCCUCCAGGUGGAAACUGCAGGUUUCCAGGGGGUCAGGCUAAAGCCUUUGAGUUGUGAUGUUUGGCCCCAUUACUGGAUACUUAGUAUGGAUCCAAUAAAUAUUUGUGCAGUUGAAUCAUAAACCCAUAAAUAGGAGUAACCAACGGUUUCAAAGCCUUAUGCAUUGAAAGUGCUAAUAACAGCACGAUAAGAACAAUUAACACUCCAGGCAAUAUGCUAAGCUUUGAACGUGCUUUUAUGUGGUCAGCUUUCACCAAAACUCUAGACUCGAUGCCAUUUUUAUUCCCAUUUUGCAGCUGAGAGAAAAAGGUUCUGAGAGGUCAGGGUUUUCCCAAGAUGACAUUCCUAGUAGACGACAUAGUCAUGACCUUGGUUAGGCCUCUGACUACAACCCCUCAGCUCCUCUGCCCCGCAGCUGGCUGUGUGGCCCUGGUCGGAGCCCCCUGCUCUCCCAGCCUCGUCUAUGAAGUAAGGAGCGUGAAGGAGGUCCUGUCCAAAGGCCAUCUCAACACAAAAUGCCGAGGUCUCUCAAGAGCGCUCCCAUUUGCGACACCUGUUCUGCCAAAGGAAAUCUUGAAGCAGGAGACUCCGAUUUUCCCGGAGACAUCCUGUCAAUGGAGGAAACACUCCUGUGAGGCCCUCAACUGCAACUGUUUUCACCAUCAUUUAGAGCAAGGGGCCGAAGGGGUUGCAGAAGAGAAUGACAACCCUCUUUUCUUGGGGGUAAUCCUCUCUAAGCCUCGCUUUGGUUCAUUUGGGAAAAUGUGGGUUGGGCCCAAGGGCAACAGCUGAUGUUUACCCUGGGACCAGCUUGGAAGCACAGACUCAAGCCACUGGAAGGCCCUUGCAGUGUUCCACCUGGCCCAGCUCCUGCUGAGGCCUCCAACCGCCAGCCCUGCUGUGCCCUCGCUUCCUUUCUCAGCUCCUCCUGCAACCUUCUUGCUAUGUCUGGAGCUCCCUCCUUCCCUGACUUCCCAGCCAGUCUGCUAUUCCCCGGAGCCCCGAGGGGACCCAUGCCCUCUCACCCAGUACCUGGUCCUCCUUGCUCCCAGUUCUGACACCUGUGGAGAAGCCACGCUGCCCACAUGCCUGCCCACUGCAGCUCCGAAAUGUGACAAGGUCCCUGAGAGCCAGGAGAAAGCCAAGGGUGGAGCCAGCUCCACAUUUCUGUCCUGCACAAUGGAAGCAGGUGUCUCAGUCCAUUUGAGCUGCUCUACCAGCGUCCCAUAGACAACAAAAAAAGUUAAUCCUGACAGUUCUGGAGGCUGGAAACUUAAGAUCAAGGCACAGCAGAUCCAGUGCUGCUGACAGUCCCUUCCUGGUUUGCAUCUUGUUGCAGCCUCACCACCUCACAUGAUGGAGAGAGAAACCAUCUGUCUUACUACAGUUUCAAGGGCACCAAUCCCAUUAGUGAGGGCUCCACCCUCAUGACCCAAUCGUCUACCCAAAGGCCCAGCCCCGUGGCUUAGGGGUUUAGGCUUAGACGUCAUUUGGAGAGGACCAUUCAGUCCACAGCUCGGAACAAUCAGGCACUGUUAAGUGCUCACAGUCUUGGCACUCAGCUUCUGAGUCAACCCAGAAUCAGCCAGAGAUGUGGACCAGACGCGACCAAUCAGAAGUCCUUGCAGAUCUAGCCCUGAUGGGAGUAAAACACACAGACCCUCCUGGAAUGGGCAGAGAGAGCAGAGAGGUCUCAGGGCACCAGGGCUGGCAGCCACCCUGGAAAGCCCCUCCUGCUGUGUUUCAGCUCUGCAUUCAUCCCUCAGGAAGCACCAAAGGCAGUACUAAGGACAGGAACAUCAAGGGCCCCUACAAAUCCUACAGACCAGGAGGAUAAGCAGGAACUGGCUUCUUAGGAGCAUCAUUGGCUUUGGGCAACGCCGGGGCUCCAAUCCCCACUUCCCACCUCUGCUGCUCUGUCAUCCUAGCACGGGGACGGGGACUUAUUCGUGAAAUCCAUCAAAGUAUUCAAUUGCGCACCAGUGAGGGAAUCCAUGUACAGUGUUCAGCAUAGCUGUUGUCAUCAUCACAUUACAAUGGAUCAGGGGCUCCUAGCUCCAGUUUUAACUCCACAAAUGCGCUGGUUCAUUGGUAACAAGCUGGACGCCUGUGACAAACGCCGUCAGAGAAUAUAGUUGACUCCAAAGCCUGCCUCCAUCCCCCGGUGCUACCAAAGCUUAUCAUCAGCACUUUUCGUCAACAUUUGUGGUCCUUGUUUUUCUGAAGGCCAGACGCACAGCAGGAGGGACCAGACUGUCACACGCCCAGCACCCCCACGGCUCACUUUGCCAGCAGGACAUAAUCCACCUCAUUUUUUUUUUUCCAUCAACGUCCUAAGGACUGAAUUUGUGAUUUUUCACUCAUGAAUGACAGCCAAACAGUACUGGACCCAUGCCUUCUCCAAGACCACGUCUCCUAUUCCUGGGCUAUAUUUCUUUGCUUAGUGGAAGUGGGAGUUCCAGCUCACCAGGAAAAUAUGCUUUACCUUCAGAGAUGAUUUGCCCUGAGGUCUGGAUUUUCCACUCUCCUCUCUUAAGUGAGAAGUGGCUCUCGCCAAGUUCUCCUCUUUACAGGCAUCUGUCCAAAUCUGUGUCCCCAAAAGCUUGGCUCUUAGAGAAGCAGGAGGGAAAAUAGACUCAGAGUGAAGAUUCUGGAAGAGAUAUGGUCUGGGGGGAGGGCAGUUUGAGGCUGCAGACCCUCCCCUGCCUUACCACAGAGCCAAAGCUCUUCACUCAUCUGCUUCAUCUGCUGGGUUUUGAGUUUUAAAUAAGAGUAUUAAAUAUACAAACACCUUUUAAAAUCCCCACACCCCAUCCAGCUCUCUCAUGUUACAGGUAAUAAACAGGUGACAGGCUGGGGCAAUUAGCAUUGGUGGCUUUUGAAAUACAAGCCCCUAACCCCAUGAUUAGUGGUCUUUUGGCCUGGGGAAAGGCCUGGAACACCCUGGAAGCAUCUCAGGCCAGAGCUGCUCCCUAACAGAUUCUUAAAGUUUUGCAGAAGGAGAAAAAUGGACCUUCACAAAUCAAGUCCUCUGUAGACAUAGAUAUUCACACAUCUUUUCUGUACCUUCACCUGGAGACUAGAAGUCCUUUAUUGGCUAAAGCGGAGAGAGAAAACAGAUUCUAUUCCCAAAUAGACCUGCACAAAAUCAUACAUAAUAGACCUGUACAUUUGACCUACCCAGAGUUAUCGAUUUUUGUUUGUUCGUUUGUUUGUUUUUUCUUUUUAGGGCCGAACCCGCAGCAUAUGGAAGUUCCCAGACUAGGGGUUGAAUUGGAGUUGCAGCUGCCAGCCUACACCAUAGUCACAACAACAUAGGCUCUGAUCCACCUCUGUGAACUACACUGCAGCUCAUGCCAACACCAGAUUCUUCAACCACUGAGUAAGGCCAGGGGUUGAACCAAGUCCUCAUGGAUACUAGUCUGGUUCGUGACCUCAGAGCCACCAUGCAAACUCCAGAAUUAUCAUUUUUUAAAAAGCAACACGUGAGAGUUCCUGUUGUGGCUCAGCGGAAACCCGACUGAUACAUGAGGAUGAGGGUUUGAUCCCUAGCCUGAGAACCUCCACAGGUAUGGCCCUAAAAAGCAAAAAAAA